AUUGAACGCUGGCGGCAUGCCUUACACAUGCAAGUCGAACGGCAGCACGGGAGCAAUCCUGGUGGCGAGUGGCGAACGGGUGAGUAAAGUAUCGGAACGUGCCCAGUCGUGGGGGAUAACGUAGCGAAAGCUACGCUAAUACCGCAUACGAUCUAUGGAUGAAAGCGGGGGAUCGCAAGACCUCGCGCGAUUGGAGCGGCCGAUAUCAGAUUAGGUAGUUGGUGGGGUAAAGGCCCACCAAGCCGACGAUCUGUAGCUGGUCUGAGAGGACGACCAGCCACACUGGGACUGAGACACGGCCCAGACUCCUACGGGAGGCAGCAGUUGGGAAUUUUGGACAAUGGGCGCAAGCCUGAUCCAGCAAUGCCGCGUGCAGGAUGAAGGCCUUCGGGUUGUAAACUGCUUUUGUACGGAGCGAAAAGGCUCUCUCUAAUACAGGGGGCUCAUGA
Molecule: ribosomal RNA, 449 nt
Filed under: uncultured bacterium
Lineage: Bacteria
Description: bacterial SSU rRNA
Rfam family: Bacterial small subunit ribosomal RNA
Source: RNAcentral